Ostrea edulis (European flat oyster) is the source of this 2231-nucleotide long non-coding RNA. RefSeq lists it as uncharacterized. NCBI's taxonomy places the organism in Eukaryota, Metazoa, Mollusca, Bivalvia, Ostreida, Ostreidae. The transcript is spliced from 3 exons. The record is from RefSeq and is a predicted model, not a curated record.
GUCGAUUUUCUAUAGCUCCCUGGGAAGUCAGCAGAGGCUUAUCGGGCGCGUUAUUUCCAUAAACAUGUCACCUUUAAAUCAUUUUGAGCAGUCGCACAGAGUUCCCCGGUAGGAGGAUCGAAAAAAAAAAUGGAGAGUUCUGAAAACGACGAUGUCUUAACUUCGGAACAGGCUCAAAUUCUUACACCCAGGACGGAUCGACAAGACCCCGAGGCAGCCACCGUCCUCUGAUGAGGUCACCCGGUCUCCCUUUAGCAGACGCUGUACUGGAUAACCCGGGCCUUUCUGAGUGUUCCAUUAACCUCAGACAUGACCAAGCUGAAUGAGAAAUCAAGGUCAACAUUCAGGAAAAAAUUGGUAAAGUUUUACUGCAAAUUUAACAACAAAAUUAUAUUUGAUGGUCAUAGUCAUAGUCGUUUCGUGCAUUAUAUAUCGUAAACUAUUUAUUAGUAUUAGCACCAGGAUUUACUUGACUUUGUGAGUUUUUUAUCAAAUCAUUUGAGAGGAUCGGUAGUAAUCUCUUCUUAGAGUAAUCGUUCCUUACACUCGCAUAUACCUCUGUUAACGUCUCGAGGGUUUUUCAAGGUUCUUCUAAAACGGUACAAAUGCUCAGAUAAAAUAUAGUUUUGACUUUGGUUGCAAAAUAUGUGUAAAUAAAUCAGAUUUAAAGUCUUUUGUGAUACAAGAAUGAUUGAAUUGUGUUGAUUAACUGAUUGUAUAUUAAACGUUCCGCUACGAGAAUUUUUCAAUGAUAUGGAGGCGUCACUAUUGCCAGUGAAGAGCUGCAAAAUUUAAAUCUAUGCCCGGCGCCUACGGUCUUUGAAAAGGGAGGGAUCUUUAUUUUACCACACUUGCUGUGACACGGGACCUCGGUUUUUGUGGUCACAUCCGAAUGACUGCCCCAUUAAGUCGCUUCUUACAACAAGAAAUGGGUACUCGGGACCUAUUCUAACUAAGAUCCUCACGGCAUUGAAUUGUGUUGAAACGUGGAUAUAUAAAUGCAGUUCGAUUGCACUAUAUAUUAGAUAUGCAUUGUAAUGGGAAAUAAAAAGUUGCUUCACCUACAUUUUCCUGAUAUUUCAUCAAGUAGCUCUUAGAUUUAUAUUUAUCAACAGUGAAAUAGUAGAUUUACACAUGGAAUAACACUGCUAAUUCUAAGACGUGGACAGAGGUAUUUCUGAGUCUAAUGAACGAGAACUCUGGGUAGCAAUUGGCUCAGUAGAUGUCCCACCAGAUUCAGAAAUUGAUCUUGUUGAUAAUACAUCAGGUUAGAGAACACGCUUUUUUGUAAUACAGUUAUUUAUAUUUGUGAAAGGUGAAGAUAACGAACAGUGAUCAGCCUCAUAAUAACUUCUAUAAGCAAUACAAAAUAUAGAGUUGGGCAAACACAGACUCCUAGAUAUACUAGAGGUGGGAUCAGGUGUCUAGGAGGAGUAAGCAUCUCCUGUCGACCGGUCACACCCGCAGUGAGUCCUAUAUCUUGAUCAGGUAAACGGAGCUAUCCGUAGUCAAAAUCAGUGUGCCAAGAACGGCCUAACAAUCAGUGAUGCUUACUCCUCCUAGAUCUCACCUCUGGUAUAUCCAGGGGUCCGUGUUUGCACAACUCUCUAUUUCGUAUUGCUUAUAGGAGUUACUAGAUUGAUCCCUGUUCAUUAUCUUCAUUUCUCAUGAGAGCGCUACCUGAACCAACCACCAUGAGAGCUGGCGAUUAUCUGAACAUCGAUGCAAAAGAAGAAACUGAACAUCAGCUCACCGAUGAUGAUAUUAUGCUGUUAGGGUCAAGGGUAGAAGUGUCUGACUGUGAUGACGAUCACGUCGACGAUGAAGAAGUGAGUGACAUCACCACGAAAGAAACAACAGACAGCAUCACCACACUCAUUAGUAAUUUCGAGCAGAAACAGCAGCAACAGAAAAUGAUAUGACAAACAGGAAAUUCUUGGAUCAACGUUGGACAAUUAAUACUGUUUCGACCGACUGCCAAACCCGGAAAUCACGCCAAAUGAAGUUGACCGAAGUAAAGGUGUGACGAAAUGUGAAUGGUAAGCUGGAUUCUCUAAACACUAUAAAGAUGAAUGGACUCGAUUGUGACAGACAAGGAGUGUCCUAGUGAAUGACUCUAAAUUCAUGUUUGAAGCCGGAGACAUUAUUCAGUGCAUUGAUGCCAAUAAAGUGAAAAAGAAUUUUGAUUGGGCCCCGGGUAUCUAGGCUUAAAUACUAUCUUAUAAAUCAAA